AAUCAACGCUGGCGGCGUGCCUCAGACAUGCAAGUCGAACGAUUAAAGCUCUCUUCGGAGAGUGCAUAGAGUGGCGCACGGGUGAGUAACACGUAAGUAAUCUACCUUCGAGUGGGGAAUAACGUCCGGAAACGGGCGCUAAUACCGCAUAAUGCAGCGGCAUCGCAAGGAUGACAGUUGUUAAAGGAGCAAUCCGCUUGAAGAGGAGCUUGCGGCAGAUUAGCUAGUUGGUAGGGUAAUGGCCUACCAAGGCUACGAUCUGUAACCGGUCUUAGAGGACGGUCGGUCACACUGACACUGAAUAACGGGUCAGACUCCUACGGGAGGCAGCAGUCGGGAAUUUUGGGCAAUGGGGGAAACCCUGACCCAGCAACGCCGCGUGAAGGAUGAAGUAUUUCGGUAUGUAAACUUCGAAAGAAUAGGAAGAAUUAAUGACGGUACUAUUUAUAAGGUCCGGCUAACUACGUG
Molecule: ribosomal RNA, 468 nt
Filed under: uncultured bacterium
Lineage: Bacteria
Description: bacterial SSU rRNA
Rfam family: Bacterial small subunit ribosomal RNA
Source: RNAcentral